AGUAACACGUGGGUAACCUGCCCAAGAGACUGGGAUAACACCUGGAAACAGAUGCUAAUACCGGAUAACAACACUAGACGCAUGUCUAGAGUUUGAAAGAUGGUUCUGCUAUCACUCUUGGAUGGACCUGCGGUGCAUUAGCUAGUUGGUAAGGUAACGGCUUACCAAGGCAAUGAUGCAUAGCCGAGUUGAGAGACUGAUCGGCCACAUUGGGACUGAGACACGGCCCAAACUCCUACGGGAGGCAGCAGUAGGGAAUCUUCCACAAUGGACGAAAGUCUGAUGGAGCAACGCCGCGUGAGUGAAGAAGGGUUUCGGCUCGUAAAGCUCUGUUGGUAGUGAAGAAAGAUAGAGGUAGUAACUGGCCUUUAUUUGACGGUAAUUACUUAGAAAGUCACGGCUAACUACGUGCCAGCAGCCGCGGUAAUACGUAGGUGGCAAGCGUUGUCCGGAUUUAUUGGGCGUAAAGCGAGUGCAGGCGGUUCAAUAAGUCUGAUGUGAAAGCCUUCGGCUCAACCGGAGAAUUGCAUCAGAAACUGUUGAACUUGAGUGCAGAAGAGGAGAGUGGAACUCCAUGUGUAGCGGUGGAAUGCGUAGAUAUAUGGAAGAACACCAGUGGCGAAGGCGGCUCUCUGGUCUGCAACUGACGCUGAGGCUCGAAAGCAUGGGUAGCGAACAGGAUUAGAUACCCUGGUAGUCCAUGCCGUAAACGAUG
This 715-nucleotide ribosomal RNA is filed under the name uncultured bacterium. RNAcentral describes it as "bacterial SSU rRNA". It matches the Rfam family "Bacterial small subunit ribosomal RNA", at positions 109 to 811 of the family's 1533-position model. The record is from RNAcentral.